RNAcentral lists this ribosomal RNA (467 nucleotides) under uncultured bacterium. RNAcentral's name for it is "partial 16S ribosomal RNA". It matches the Rfam family "Bacterial small subunit ribosomal RNA", at positions 28 to 507 of the family's 1533-position model. The record is from RNAcentral.
GACGUACGCUGGCGGCGUGCUUAACACAUGCAAGUCGAACGGAAAGGCCCUGCUUUUGUGGGGUGCUCGAGUGGCGAACGGGUGAGUAACACGUGAGUAACCUGCCCUUGACUUUGGGAUAACUUCAGGAAACUGGGGCUAAUACCGGAUAGGAGCUCCUGCUGCAUGGUGGGGGUUGGAAAGUUUCGGCGGUUGGGGAUGGACUCGCGGCUUUCAGCUUGUUGGUGGGGUAGUGGCUUACCAAGGCUUUGACGGGUAGCCGGCCUGAGAGGGUGACCGGCCACAUUGGGACUGAGAUACGGCCCAGACUCCUACGGGAGGCAGCAGUGGGGAAUAUUGCACAAUGGGCGGAAGCCUGAUGCAGCAACGCCGCGUGCGGGAUGACGGCCUUCGGGUUGUAAACCGCUUUCGCCUGUGACGAAGCGUGAGUGACGGUAAUGGGUAAAGAAGCACCGGCUAACUACGUG